Molecule: ribosomal RNA, 117 nt
Filed under: Candidatus Peribacteria bacterium
Lineage: Bacteria; Candidatus Peregrinibacteriota; Candidatus Peribacteria
Source: RNAcentral
GGUGGUGCUGAUGUGGAGUAUGGAAACACCUGUUCCCAUUCCGAAUACAGAAGUUAAGCAUAUUCCAGUCGAUGAUACUGGUGGGCUUCCCGCUGGGAAAGUAGAUUAGUGCUACCA